Molecule: long non-coding RNA, 1636 nt
Organism: Macaca fascicularis (crab-eating macaque)
Lineage: Eukaryota; Metazoa; Chordata; Mammalia; Primates; Cercopithecidae
Source: Ensembl
GCACGCAGCUGGACCUGGUCUGACUGCUCCACCUGUGUGCACUCACACAGCUUUCACCCACAGGUGGACGUAGAUGCCCUGUUAAUCCCGGCGUCUAGAUGAGGGGCUGCAGUGGGGUCCCCUUCCAAAAUCCCACAGCUGGUGGCAGAGGAGACUCCUGGCCUUCACCCCCAGGCUACACUGCCUGCUGACAGGUGCAGGGUUUGAGGGGAGAAAGGAGGGGUAUGGCAGCCCUUGGGUGCAGGAGGGAGCCCACGUCCUGUGCUCUGUCUCUGCACACAGGGACCCAGCAUCUCUGGUUUAGUGUCUGUGGCUGCUCCAUCCUGUCCUGCCAUUGACCACCACUUUUUAAUGAUGCCUUCUCUCUCUCAUGUUACACCCCCCUGCAUCCUUCAGGGGCCUCUCACAGGCUCCUAAGUAGAGGCUCAGAAGCACAGGGGCUGCUGUAGGUGCCCUCUGCUCAUGUGUUCACCGGUUCACUCCCCAGGGGAGCAGGACCCUUGAAUCCUGUAGCAGCCGAAGCAUCUCAAGCAGCAUCUGUCUCCCACGCCCCCUUCCUCCAGCCAGCGUGGCCUAGUGCAGUGUGAGCUCCUGCAGAAAGUGUCUGCAGGGCCACAGCUCCCUCACUCAUCCCCAGCCACAGCAGGUUCCAUUGGCCACAGCCGUUCUUGGCACACUCAGCAGCAAACCUGGCAAGGCGGCAAGUGGGGAUCAAUGCCAGCCCUCGUGACUUUCAGAUCUCCAUCAGCCAGGACUCCAAAAUAGCAUCAAGAAGCAGUGGAUAUGCUCCAUUUCAGGAGCAUAUCAGGGACUGCUGCUCAGCUGUUACAGGGCCAGGGUCUGAUCUUCUCCCCCAAGACAGGGGACAGGGUACCUCAGUGAUACCUGGUUUGCUGCAGAGGGAGGUGUUUGCCAGGCUUCCAGAAGCCCACACACAUUUGCAGAGAUAAUUGCUUCCGGCUGCUUCCCCCCUCCAUCAGCCUCCUGCACGUGAGGGGUAGGGCUGGGCAGAGAUGUUAGGAGGGCCCUGCACAAGCCUGCCAGUGAGGUCCCCCCAGCACCAGAGCCCGAGCCCAUGUCUAUGAUUAGAAAAGCCUGUGAUUUGGAAACUCAGCAUGGAAGAGUCUGUGGUUUAGAGAUUCCAUGAUUCCGCCUUCCAGACAUAAUGCCGAGUGGGGAAAGAGUUGCAGAAAAAGAUAUGCAAUGUGAUCCUACUUAUGUAAAGUUUAAAAACGUGCACAAGUGUUUAUAUGGUUUGUGGAUACCUCUCAAUGCAGGAGAUUCACUACAGAGUGAAUUCACCAUGGGGAUGGGAAGAGGGCAGGACUGGCGAGGGGAUUUAACAGAGGCGGUGACCCUGGGCUUCCAUCAUAUUCGUCAUGUUCUGUUUCUUGUAGUGGGUCGGGGUAUAUCAGAGUUCAUGGUAUUCAUCUUUAUGCCUUUUGGCAUAUUUUAAAUCUUUUAUUUAAAAAAUUCAUAAUAUGGUGGGUUCGUUGGUGCAUGCCUGUAGUCCCAAGCUAAGGCAGGAAGAUCACUGAGCCCAGGAGUUUGAGGCUGUAGUGUGCUAUGGUUGCUCCCAUGAAAGCCACUGCACUGCAGCCUGGGCAGCAUAGUGAGACCUCAUCUUUAAAAAAAA